RNAcentral lists this ribosomal RNA (253 nucleotides) under uncultured bacterium. RNAcentral's name for it is "partial 16S ribosomal RNA". It matches the Rfam family "Bacterial small subunit ribosomal RNA", at positions 524 to 776 of the family's 1533-position model. The record is from RNAcentral.
UACGAAGGGGACGAGCGUUGUUCGGAAUUACUGGGCGUAAAGGGCGCUUAGGCGGCUACUCUAGUCAGAUGUGAAAGUCCUGGGCUUAACCUGGGGACUGCAUUUGAUACUGGGUUGCUUGAAUUCGGGAGAGGAUAGCGGAAUUCCCAGUGUAGAGGUGAAAUUCGUAGAUAUUGGGAAGAACACCGGUGGCGAAGGCGGCUAUCUGGACCGACAUUGACGCUGAGGCGCGAAAGCGUGGGGAGCAAACAGG